Molecule: long non-coding RNA, 496 nt
Filed under: Vitis vinifera (wine grape)
Lineage: Eukaryota; Viridiplantae; Streptophyta; Magnoliopsida; Vitales; Vitaceae
Description: long non-coding RNA (VVIN_LNC003158)
Source: RNAcentral
AAACAGGAGGGAGAAAUCCAUGGAUCCGACAAAAGUCAGUCAAGUGCAAGGAUCAAUGAUGUACUGACACAGCAACAUGAAGGUGUUGCAUCAAUUUACUGUUUGGGAUCAGACUAAAAGGCUUGUUCUUCUUUGUUUAAAAAAAAAAGGAUUUUCUUUGGGCAGAGAGAAUAACAGAGAGCAUACAUUGAAAUGAAAGAAAUAGGUGGACGGAUUCAAGCUUGGGAGUAGAUUUCUCGGUCUAAGAAAGAAGUUGUAUGCUUGGGAGAUUUAUUUCAAGAAUGUCAUAGAAGGUUUAAGGAAAGAGGAAUUCAAGCAGUUAUCAUCAAUUUCUCUUCUUGUGAUGGCUGGUGGAGCUAUGUCUCUCUUCUCAUCCAAGAUGGCCUACCUACAGGACUUGGCUUCACUAAUAAUGUUAUUGCAGAUGCUGAAGCCCCACGCUCAUCAAUAUAGCCUCUAGAAGUUCUUCCACCAGACCCUUUUCACUUUUUUAGCG